Molecule: long non-coding RNA, 1017 nt
Filed under: Mytilus galloprovincialis (Mediterranean mussel)
Lineage: Eukaryota; Metazoa; Mollusca; Bivalvia; Mytilida; Mytilidae
Source: RNAcentral
GUAAACCAUUAUAGGUCAAUGUACGGCCUUCAACACGAAGCCUUGUCUCACACCGAACAACAAGCUAUAAAGGGCCCCAAAAUUACUAGUGUAAAACCAUUCAAACGGGAAAACCAACGGUCUAAUCUAUAUAAAAUAAAAAAAACGAGAAACGAGAAACACGUAUAAAUUACAUAAACAAACGACAACUACUGUACAUCAGAUUCCUGAUUUAGGACAGGUGCAAACAUUUGCAGCGGAAUUAAACGUUUUAAUGGAUCCAAACCUUCUCCCUUUUUCUGAAACAAUAGCAUAACAUCACAACAUAGAAAAACACACGAUAAAAUAUCAAUUGGCAGGCUUGAACUCAAUCAAACUAGAGGCUCUAAAGAGCCUGUGUCGCUCACCUUGGUCUAUGUGAAUAUUAAACAAUGGACACAGAUGGAUUCAUGACAAAAUUGUGUUUUGGUGAUGGUGAUGUGUUUGUAGAUCUUACUUUACUGAACAUUCUUGCUGCUUACAAUUAUCUCUAUCUAUAACAGUACUUUCUGUGGAAAAUGUUAUUGAAAAUCUUCAAAUUUUAAGAAAAUUGUUAAAAAUUGACUAUGAAGGGCAAUAACUCCUUAGGGGUCAAUUGACUAUUUUGGUCAUACUGACUUAUUUUUAGUUCUUACUUUGCUGUACAUUAUUGCUGUUUACAGUUUAUCUCUAUCUAUAAUGAUAUUCAAGAUAAUAACAAAAAAACAGCAAAAUUUCCUCAAAAUUACCAAUUCAGGGGCAGCAACCUAACAACCGAUUAUCCGAUUCAUCUGAAAAUUCCAGGGCAGAUAGAUCGUGACCUGAUCAACAAUUUUACUUCCUGUCAGAUUUGCUCUUAAUGCUUUGGUUUUUGAGCUAUAAGCCUAAAACUGCAUUUUACCCCCAUGUUCUAUUUUUAGCCAUGGCGGCCAUCUUGGUUUGUUGGCCGCGUUACCGGACACAUUUUUUUUAACUAGAUAUCCCAAUGAUGAUUAUGGCUAAGUUUGGUUAAAUUUGGCC